UCAGCUGUGUUAUGUUUUAUUUCUGUCCUUUUCUGUAAGUGAUAACACUAACAACAUUUUGUUCAACAUUUGCUUUGCUGUAGCCCUGGCUACACACACACACACACACACACGCUUUCUUCACCAAUGUAUAAAACCAACUAGUUUCUACAACUUCUGAAUCCGAUUUAUACCGUAACGAGUAAUCUGAUUCUUUGACUCAAAUAGAAACCAAGAUGCCUCACACACACACUUCCACACACACACACACACACAUACUACUGCUAGACAGUUUAGGAGCUUUGCUGUGAAUUACUGAAUGAUAGGACCAGUUCUACACAGCAGCACACAGUUUAAGUACAACUUUUAUUAAUACUGGAAUCAUCACAGUGCAUUUUGUUACAUUAGCAGUGACUGAACAGAAAAAGGGUCACUUUUACAAAAAAAAGGAAGACAGGAAAAAAAAGAAAAGGUAAUAUCAGUGACAAAGAGAAAAACAACCUUAAAAAUCAAUGAACAAUAAAUUAAAAGGAACAUCAGAGGAAACGCAGGGAGACAAAACCACAGUGACUACUGGAGGGUAAGAAGGAGGUUAAAUGAUCGGGUGGAAACAUCGAGUAAGCAGGUUUUCACUCGGGUCACAGUGUUCAGCGUGAACUAAGUGGCCCCCGUAGAAAAUGUCUCCAUGGCGACUUGGGCACAGAUUUCUCUAGAGUUCAGAUCUUCUUCUCGUUCAAGAAGGAACAAGAGAGCAAGAGUGACUACUGAGACGUUGAGAAAAGACAGCAAGACAUUCACUUUAGUUACAGCGACAGUGGCACCUGGAGGCCCGUUUGGCUACUUGGUUGUGGAUGUUUGAUGGGAACUUACAGAGCGUUACAUCAUGAGCCCCCUAGAGGACAUCAGUGAACCCUUAUGCGGCCACUGAGGAUCUACCUUUGUCAUGUUCACCUCAAAUGAGUGUCUAGCAGUGUGUGUGCGUGUCUGUGGGUGUGUGUUGGAUUUGUUGAGUGUGGGACUUCAAGAAGGAUUGACAGAUUGUGUGUGGGAAGUGGAAAGGAAGAACAGUAGGGGUUUUAACCACGUGUCCUUGAGGAGCACGAAAACUCUUUCUCACACACACACACACACACACACCCCUACGCACGCAGCAUUUUAUAUAGCUUAGGCAGAUGGCUUAAGAAGCAGGAAGUGCCCAAGAAUUUCAUGAUGCUUCUUUUAGUCUCACUCGGAACACAAAGCGACCUGCGGGAUUGUGGACGAGCGCUGCAACGUCUUCGUUUGGACUAGCUACGUGAUGAGCAGCGUCGCUUCAAAAUGUACUUGUCCACACGUCUGUGUGUUCAUGAAACCCACAAAUUACCGGACACAAACGUUGACCCCCCAGAUCUUUUGCAGUUGAGUUCCUCACAGCGGAAAUCUUUCAGCAACCUAAAGGUCUCCGAUUCCAUGAGGGAGAUUUAGGAAAGUGUUAAUAUAACAACAAAUCUCAGCUACUGCAGCUUUAAUCUGGAAAAAUGUAAUAAAAUCUGCUUCAGUUCAGGAGGGUCUGCGGGGAAAACACUGGAUGGAGAACGCAGGGUGGAAUCAGAAACAACAAGAGGCCCAGGACCAGGCGCUCUGCAGUGUUAAUUAACCCUCACAACAAUAGUUCUCUCUUAUUUCAACAAUACUAGUCAUGUCUGCAAAUAUGUUAAACAACAAAUAUAAAGGAAGUAUUUGGACAUUUUUAAAAUUUCUCCAGGAAUCAGAUCAGAUCAGGUCAGAUGUCUGACCAAAUUUUAUUUGUUUCGGGGUUAUGGGUCAACUCUACCCUCAUUAGGUAGGAACCACAUCUAGGAGAUCAGGACAAGCCUAUGUUAUAGUUGGCAAAGUGGCAGUUUUUUAAAUUUAUUUUUAUUAAGUUUUGGGUGUCACAUGGUCUUAUAGCAGCAGUCUCUCUUUCCCCACGUGGACGAGGCAGAUAGAAGUCAUUUUUCCAAAACUCGAACGUUUCGGGAGAGCGACUGUUUUUCUCAUUUGCAGGUAUUUAUAGCGGCCAGGAUCAAUGAAAUUAAACAAUUCACUUCAGGUCCUGCAGGACGUUUUAGUGCUGGAUUUGGUUGGAGAUCGAUUUAAAGUUUCCAUGCCAACAUGUGAAGUAAACUAACACUAGUGGUGGUUAAUCCAGUGAUUACAAAAUGUAAUUUAAUUCAUUAAAAUGACAAAUUAUCCGUCAAAAAUAGAUAUUUUAAUGCAUGUUGACGUUGAGGCCUCUCAGAGUUCAGCAGCAUGCGUUGCUGCUUGCACUUUUGAGUUUUGUUGGGUUUUUUUUAGCAUGGAAGCUCACCAGAAAAAAAACAAUAAAAGAAAAAAAUCAUAUAAAGUUGCUUUUGAUCUGCUGCCAAGAAACGUCUCAAAAAACCUGAUCAAAAUUAAUUAAAAUGUAAUCUAGCAUAGAGAUGGAGCGUUGGGCGCCCAUCUGCUUGCCUGGAAAAAAGCUCCCGUUAGCACAUCCACCAGCCCCGUUACCCCCGUUAGCAAUUCCAACUCAUACAACAGCCCACCCAGGACGCGUUAGCCACCGCAGCACACAAGGCCCACAAUUUGCACCUGUGCACACAUGCAAACCAACAGGAAGUUAAUAGACAUAGAGGGGAUUUGGGUGAGGAAUGAAUGAGGAGGGGAGAAUAAACUGAGCACAGAGCAAGUAUCCGCAGCGGGCGUAGGUGGAAAUUAAGACUUCAUCAGAAUUAUUUUUCAUUAGCUCUAAUAGACUGAGAGGCACAGAGAGACCAACUACGGUCUCUACACCAACUACGGUGUUUUGGUUCUCCCGUCAACCACCAAGCACUGUUUUGUUUUUGUUUUUUUAACUUGUCUGCUGGGUGUAACCGAUGUACGGACGGAGACGAGGGCUCAGGAAAUGAUGGGAGGUUACGGGAUGAAAGACCUUAACAUGGCAGAAAAGAAACACAUCCGCCUGCUUUAGCUUGCCAAAGAGUGCUAAGAGCAUUUUGAGAGUGUAUGCUGAGUGUGUGAGGCCAUGUGGGAGCAUGCAUGUUGGCACAAUAUUCCUUUAUGUUCCUUCCUAUGUAGCUUUGACCGUUGGCUGGUUGGCUUGCUGUUAUUUACAUGGCGACUCAGAAAAUGACAAAACUGGAGCAAAAAUCAAUUCAGCAUGUUGACACAGACAGGUCAGCGCAAAAUAACCCAUCAAAGAAAAAACAUGAUUUCCUUGGAUUCCCUUAGGGGUGUAUUUAGAUCUUGUGGAAUAAGAACCUGUGAUAUUACACCAACAUGACUUUGAUGUCAUCAAAGUCUGGCUGUGUAGACAUUAUCCAGUUAACAACAUCUGGAUAAGUAGGCUUAUUUUAUUUUGUAUGUAAAAUGAACGUUCUAUUUUGUUUGACACUUUUAAUUUGAAGCAAUAGAGGAAGUAGUUCUUGAGCUAUAUUGUGUUUGACAAAGUUGGGGGGAAAAAAAGAUAUUAAAAAUACAGCAGUCCGACCAUUCAAAGACUUCUGAGCAGCUUUUUUCACGCUUCCAAUUGUACAUUAAAAAUUUAUCUUUGGAAAUGAGAUUCAAGUGUUUGAUAUUGGAAGGCCUCUUUACCAUCACCCUAAUCUUUUGCUCCCUCCACAGAAGAUCUAUCAGAUUCAAGUUGCGACUCUGGCAGGGCCAUAAUAAAAUGUUAAUAUUACUUCCAGUGAGAACAAAAGUUAAUUUUAAAAGAUUGCUUUUACAUCUACAGUAAUUGGUGAUGUACAGUACCUGUCCCAAAGUACCUACUAACAGAUGACAGCAGAGCUAACAUGUUGAGAAGAGAGAAUAAAACCAUAAACAUUUGAUGCCUUGGUGUUUAUAACAGUGUCCACGUCGAAUAUCUUUCUACAUGGCAAUCAUACCACUUUUUUAUAUAUAUAUAUAAAAUUAAAAUAUAUUUAAUUAUUCAAAACUGUCAUCUUUUGAGAAAUUUCUGUCUAACUUUCUAUCAGAAACAAACUCUUUGGUUGAGUGGAACUAAUGUGAAAUCUGAAUCUGCCAAGGGUGUGAAUAAUCAGAGACUCAUUCUUACUUCAGACAGAACUACGCCGUUUUUAACAGUUACUUGUAAUUACACUGCAGUGUUUAGCAUCGAGGAACGUAAGUGACCCAGGUUCUGUUUUAAGAUAGCGCUGGUUCAAAGUGUUUCAUCCACUAUUAAAAAAUAUAUAUACAGUUUCUCACAAAUGAGCUGAUAUUUUUGUGUUGUGUUUGCGAGCUCAUGGAAAACUGUGGGCAUUCUAGAGGUCAGGUCAGCUUCUCUAUGGUGUCAAUAUGAGAUCAACUGAAUUUUGAAUGUCUCUCUUGUUUAACUUCUUUCAGGUUUUAUUUCCACCCAAUUACAAUCACAUUUGGCCAUUUCUUUUUACUUGCACUCAAAUGAAAAACAUAAAGUGACGUGCCUUUCCUGAGAUGGUGCUUUAACUGUUCCACUCGAUGUGCUUUACAGUUUCGGAAGGUAUUUUUCUAUUUUAAAAGUCGUCAGAUUUACAACUAGUUUUAAGGUAAAAGACAAAAAAAAACUAAACUGAU
Molecule: long non-coding RNA, 4536 nt
Organism: Xiphophorus couchianus (Monterrey platyfish)
Lineage: Eukaryota; Metazoa; Chordata; Actinopteri; Cyprinodontiformes; Poeciliidae
Exons: 2
Source: RefSeq, a predicted model, not a curated record